GAUGAACGCUGGCGGCGUGCCUAAUACAUGCAAGUCGAGCGAACAGACGAGGAGCUUGCUCCUCUGACGUUAGCGGCGGACGGGUGAGUAACACGUGGAUAACCUACCUAUAAGACUGGGAUAACUUCGGGAAACCGGAGCUAAUACCGGAUAAUAUAUUGAACCGCAUGGUUCAAUAGUGAAAGACGGUUUUGCUGUCACUUAUAGAUGGAUCCGCGCCGCAUUAGCUAGUUGGUAAGGUAACGGCUUACCAAGGCGACGAUGCGUAGCCGACCUGAGAGGGUGAUCGGCCACACUGGAACUGAGACACGGUCCAGACUCCUACGGGAGGCAGCAGUAGGGAAUCUUCCGCAAAGGGCGAAAGCCUGACGGAGCAACGCCGCGUGAGUGAUGAAGGUCUUCGGAUCGUAAAACUCUGUUAUUAGGGAAGAACAAAUGUGUAAGUAACUAUGCACGUCUUGACGGUACCUAAUCAGAAAGCAACGGCUAACUACGUG
Molecule: ribosomal RNA, 497 nt
Filed under: uncultured bacterium
Lineage: Bacteria
Description: partial 16S ribosomal RNA
Rfam family: Bacterial small subunit ribosomal RNA
Source: RNAcentral